GCCCACAAGCUAGCUCACCCCCUAAAACACAACAUAACCCUAUUAAUAACCCCAGAUAGCCCCCCCCAUAAAACUAAACCAUUUUACCACCCAAGUAUGGGCGACAGAAAAGGACAUCGUAAGCAACAGCCAUAGUACCGUAAGGGAACGCUGAAAAAGAAGUGAAACAACUCAGUAAAGCACAUAAAAGCAGAGACUCCCCCUCGUACCUUUUGCAUCAUGAAUUAGCAAGUAAACACCGAGCAAAAAGCAUUUUAGUUCGGAACCCCGAAACCAAGUGAGCUACUCCAAGACAGCCUUUUGGGCGUACCCGUCUCUGUGGCAAAAGAGUGGGAAGAGCUUCGAGUAGAGGUGAUAUACCAACCGAACCUGGUUAUAGCUGGUUGCCCACGAAAAGAAUACAAGUUCAGCCCUUUAUACUCUUCCCUUGCCCGCACCUAAAGCUUGAGAGAAUAAAGGAGUCAGUCAAAGGGGGUACAGCCCCUUUGAGGAAGACACAACUUUACCAGCCGGGUAAAGAUCAUAUCCCCCAAGGGCUUAUGUUCCAGUUGGCCUAAAAGCAGCCACCUAAGUAGAAAGCGUUAAAGCUCAAACACCGCCCCACCCCAAUUAUACAGACAACAACAUCUUACCCCCCUAAUAUAUACUGGGCUUCUCUAUGCCCCCAUAGAGGGAACUAUGCUAAUAUGAGUAAUAAGAGACAAAGAAUCUCUCCCCGCACAAGUGUACCUCGGAACGAACCCCCACCGAAAUUUAACGGCCCCUAUUAAGAGGGCACUGAGGCACAAAACAACCGCCAGAUAAAUUCCCAGCCCCGCCCCGUUAACCUUACACAAGAGUGCCCGCAUGGAAAGACUUAAAAGGAAAGAAGGAACUCGGCA
RNAcentral lists this ribosomal RNA (881 nucleotides) under Siphamia tubulata (siphonfish). RNAcentral's name for it is "partial 16S ribosomal RNA". The stretch from base 188 to 881 matches the Rfam family "Bacterial large subunit ribosomal RNA", at positions 568 to 1719 of the family's 2925-position model. The record is from RNAcentral. Lineage: Eukaryota; Metazoa; Chordata; Actinopteri; Kurtiformes; Apogonidae.